This 1793-nucleotide long non-coding RNA is filed under the name Sus scrofa (pig). RNAcentral's name for it is "lncRNA (ENSSSCG00035004769.1)". Lineage: Eukaryota; Metazoa; Chordata; Mammalia; Artiodactyla; Suidae. The record is from RNAcentral.
GGAGUCCCGUAACUGUAUCUUGCGCACAAAGGCGGACUGGGUUCAGCAGCGAACCCCACCAGAGCACACCGAUCCCGAUGGCGCGGAAGGUGCUCUGCUAGCGGCAACGAAGAUGGAUAUUUAGUGCAAACACUGGGAGACCGACUGCCUCGAACAUUCCAAAGAGGACCCUUCAGUGGGCAGAGUAGGUGGGCGAGGCUUCUGCUGCUGAAGGCAGCUUCCGUUUGCCCUUCCGUUUGCCUCUCUCCCGGAUGCUUCUCCUCCUGUUUGCGCUUGCGGAAGGGGUGAAGUCAACACCCUUUUGUGUGAAAUGUGGGAUAGUUAAACCAUAUCGCAUUCUUAUCCUCGUCUGCACUUUCAGUGGUUCUGCCCUUCUGUGGUGGGCCUUCAGCCUCUCCACCUGGGUGAGGAUAGAAAUCCCAAGUGGCUCCCAAGUCCUUUUCAGUGCUCUUUUUGCAAUAUGCAGUGGUGAGAUCAAGUGUUGGAUUCCACUAUCAAAAUCAAGUAUCUGUGUGUUCCUUGCAUUACUGCUGCACUCUCUGCAUGUUUUGAAAGUAACCAACUUAUGCAAGGAUGCGAAAAUCACCUUUCUCUACCCUACUUUCAUCCUUUCAUUCAGCGCCAUACUAUUUUUCUUAUCUGGAAUCCUCUGCUUAUUCAGCUCCCAUCAUUGUUGGCUUCAGUGCGUCUUACAGCAACCAAUCCAAGUGAAACCUAUGCAAAUGUCAGUGGUCAGUGGGAACUCAGCAAUGGUCACAGAAAGGACACCGGGUAGAGAUGGCUAGCCUAACCUCAGUGGUGGUGAGAAAGCUGAUUUUAGAAGAAACAUGUCUCACCUGUAAUUCAAGAUUUCACAGCUAUACACACACUCUUAUUUAAUUACUGCAUAAGACUGGAAAGAGUUGGCUGGUUACUAAUCAUUGUUCAAGAUAUGGCUUAGGAUUCCGGGGACUUAGAUAUUCAUAAGAGAGAAAACACAGUUGGGGUGUGGGGAAAGUUGAGUGUUUGGCUCUUGGGGACUUGAAAUGAAAAAAACUUCUCUUCACCUUGAAGAUUCUUCUCUUGGCACCCAUUUCCCAACCCUCUUGCUGGUAUGCCUGGUCUCCUGGCAGUGGUUUUUUUUAGCAGUAACAAAACUCUCUCUCCACUAUAAAGCCUGAGUUUGAUAAAAACAAAUUUUUUUUCUGCUCUCUGGGAAUUUCAUGAGUGGAAUCUUUUCACUACUGUGUUAUUCGGGACUCUUUUUUUUUUUUUUUUUGCAUGUAACAAACCUUAUCCAAACUACCUUCAACAAAAAUUGAAUUUAUUGGAUGCAGGGGUUACCUCAUAGACUCAAAAAAAGUUCUGGUAGAAUCAGGGCUACAUGAGAGAGUUGGGGAGCUGGAAUCUUGAGAUCAUUUCCUCAGGAUACUAUUUUUUUAAACUAUCCACUGAAGGUUAAUGGAAUUUCUCAAUCCUUAAAAUGGAAGCACUAUCCUAAAUUCCUCUUGCUCAUCACUUUCAAUGAAUCACCAAAGCUUGUCCUUUCCACCUCAACAAGACUUCCGUUCCCCUCCCUGAGCCCUCCUCACUGGUCAUCGUGACCAGGUCUUUGUCAUCCCUGCCCAGACUGUGUCGUCUCUGAAUGUGGCUUGUCCCCCACUGUGGCCUACCUCUGCGAAGCUGCCCAGCUCGAGCUUCCUAAAAUACAGAGAUGAGAAUGUGCUCCUUAAAAGCCUAUUUUGCCUUCUUCUGGCCUUCAGGAUAAAUUCCUUAUCUUGAUAAAUAAAGUUAUUUACAAGUUGGCAUCAACC